GACGAACGCUGGCGGCGUGCCUAAUACAUGCAAGUCGAGCGGACAGGCGCUGCGCUUGCUCCUCUCACGUUAGCCGCACACGGGUGAGUCACGCGUGUAUACUCUCCCUAUCAGACUGGGAUAACUUCGAGAAACGGGCGCUAAUACCGUAUAAUAUCUUGAACCGCAUGGUUCAAUAGUGAAAGUCGGCGUUGCUGUAACUUCUAGCUGCAUCUCCGCCGCAUUGGCUGGUUGGUACGGUAACGGCUUACCAAGGCGAGCAUGCGUGGCCGACGGGAGAGGGGGAUCGGCGACACGGGAACGGAGACACGGACCAGAGUCCUAAGGGAGGGAGCAGUAGGGAAUGGGCCGCAAUGGGGGAAAGCCUGACGGAGCAAGGCCAAGCGAGUGAUGAAGGUGUUCGGAGCGGAAAACUCGGUUAUGGGGGAAGAACAAAUUUGGAAUGUAACGUGCACGGCGUGACGGUACCGAAUCAGAAAGCCACGGCUAACUACGUG
Molecule: ribosomal RNA, 497 nt
Filed under: uncultured bacterium
Lineage: Bacteria
Description: partial 16S ribosomal RNA
Rfam family: Bacterial small subunit ribosomal RNA
Source: RNAcentral